GCUACGGGAGGCAGCAGUGAGGAAUAUUGGUCAAUGGCCGUAAGGCUGAACCAGCCAAGUAGCGUGAGGGAAGACUGCCCUAUGGGUUGUAAACCUCUUUUAUGCGGGGAUAAAGGUGUCCACGUGUGGAUGUUUGCAGGUACCGCAUGAAUAAGGACCGGCUAAUUCCGUGCCAGCAGCCGCGGUAAUACGGAAGGUCCGGGCGUUAUCCGGAUUUAUUGGGUUUAAAGGGAGCGUAGAUGGGUUGUUAAGUCAGUUGUGAAAGUUUGCGGCUCAACCCCGGCCUGCCGUCGGAACUGGGUGCCUUGAGUGGGCGAGAAGGAUGCGGAAUGCGUGGUGUAGCGGUGAAAUGCAUAGAUAUCACGCAGAACCCCGAUUGCGAAGGCAGCAUACCGGCGCCCUACUGACGCUGAGGCACGAAAGUGCGGGUAUCGAACAGGAUUAGAUACCCUGGUAGUC
RNAcentral lists this ribosomal RNA (459 nucleotides) under uncultured bacterium. Its description in RNAcentral is "partial 16S ribosomal RNA". It matches the Rfam family "Bacterial small subunit ribosomal RNA", at positions 338 to 795 of the family's 1533-position model. The record is from RNAcentral.